CCUACCCCCUGUGGUGUGUCUUCCUCUAUCCUGUCCUCCUACCCCCUGUGGUGUGUCUUCCUCUAUCCUGUCCUCCUACCCCCUGUUGUGUCUUCCUCUAUCCUGUCCUCCUACCCCCUGUUGUGUCUUCCUCUAUCCUGUCCUCCUACUCCCUGUUGUGUCUUCCUCUAUCCUGUCCUCCUACCCCCUGUGGUGUGUCUUCCUCUAUCCUGUCCUCCUACCCCCUGUGGUGUGUCUUCCUCUAUCCUGUCCUCCUACCCCCUGUGGUGUGUCUUCCUCUAUCCUGUCCUCCUACUCCCUGUUGUGUGUCUUCCUCUAUCCUGUCCUCCUACUCCCUGUUGUGUCUUCCUCUAUCCUGUCCUCCUACUUCCUGUUGUGUCUUCCUCUAUCCUGUCCUCCUACCCCCUGUUGUGUCUUCCUCUAUCCUGUCCUCCUACUCCCUGUUGUGUCUUCCUCUAUCCUGUCCUCCUACUUCCUGUUGUGUCUUCCUCUAUCCUGUCCUCCUACCCCCUGUUGUGUGUCUUCCUCUAAACUCACUGACCUGCAUCUACCCCCUUACUCACAGAAGGUUUACAUUUACCACCUCAUUCUUCCUUUCCCACAGUUACAGCACAACCAACAUUCAUUAUCUUAUCUAAAUAUGGGGACUCAAUCAUUCAAUCAGUAAGAAAUGUCCCUGACACCACCUGCCUAAUAUUUUGUAGGUCCCCUUUUUGCCUCCAAAUCAGCACUGAUCCGUCGAGGCAUUAACUCCACUAGACCUCUGAAGGUGUGCUGUGGAAUCUGGCACCAAGUCGUUAGCAGCAGAUCCUUUAAGUCCUGUAAUUUGCGAGGCCUCCAUGGAUUGGACCUGUUUGUCCAGCACAUCCCACAGAUGGCUGAUUGGAUUGAAAUCUAGGGAAUUUGGAGGCCAAGUCAACACCUUGAACUCAUUGUUGUGUUCCUCAAACCAUUCCUGAACCAUUUUUGCUUUGUGGCAGGGUGCAUUAUCCUGCUGAAAGAGGCCAAUGCCAUCAGGGAAUACAAUUGCCAUGAAAGGGUGCACAUGGUCUGCAACAAUGAUUAGUGCAGUGUGGUGCCAUGUGUUCUCCAGGUAAGUGAUGCACCUAGCCAUCCACAUGAUGUAAAAUAAAAUGUGAUUCAUCAAACCAGACCACCUUCUUCCUUUGCUCCGUGGUCCAGUUCUGAUGCUCAUGUGCCCACUGUAGGCACUUUCAAGACAGGCGUCAGCAUGGGCACCAUGACUGGUCUGCGGCUACGCAGCCCCAUAUGCAACAAACUGCAUUGCACUGUGUGUUCUGACACCUUUCUAUCAGUACCAGCAUUAACGUUUUUCAUCAUUUUGAGCUACUGUUGGAUCAGACCACAGGGGCCAGCCUUCGCUCCCCACAUGCAUCAGUAAGCCUUGGCCGCCCAUGACCGUGUCGCGGUUCACCAAUUUUCCUUCCUUGGACCACUUUUGAUAGGUCCUGACCACUGCAGACCGUGAACACCCCACAAGGGCUGCAGUUUUGGAGAUGUUCUGACCCAGUCGUCUAGCCAUCACAAUUUGGCCCUAGUCAAAGUCGCUCAGAUCCUUACACUUGCCCACUUUUCCUGCUUCUAACACAUCAACUUUGGGGACAGAAUGAGACAAAGAGUAUCAGUGUUAUUCACUUCACCUGUCAGUGGUCAUAACGUUAUGGCUGAUCAGUAUAUACAGUAUCUCAUAAAUGUGAGUACACCCCUCACAUUUUUGUAAAUAUUUGUAAAUAUCUUUUCAUGUGACAACACUGAAGAAAUGACACUUUGCAAAAAUGUAAAGUAGUGAGUGCACAGCUUGUAUAACAGUGUAAAUUUGCUGUCCCCUCAAAAUAACACAACACACAGCCAUUAAUGUCUAAACUGCUGGCAACAAAAGUGAGUACACCCCUAAGUGGUGGCCAACUACAAGAAACAUCUGACCUCUGUGAUUGCCAACAAGGGUUUUGCCACCAAGUACUAAGUCAUGUUUUGCAGAGGGGUUGAAUACUUAUUUCACUCACUAAAAUGCAAAUCAAUGUAUAUAUUUUUUUAAUAACGUGUUUUUCUGGAUUCUUUUGUUGUUAUUCUGUCUCUCACUGUUCAAAUAAACCUACUGACUGAUAAUUUCUUUGUCAGUGGUGAAACAUACAAAAUCAACAGGGGAUCAAAUAUUAUUUUCCCUCAC
This is a long non-coding RNA of Esox lucius (northern pike), 2188 nucleotides long. The record is from Ensembl. Lineage: Eukaryota; Metazoa; Chordata; Actinopteri; Esociformes; Esocidae.